This 273-nucleotide ribosomal RNA is filed under the name uncultured Cortinarius. Its description in RNAcentral is "partial large subunit ribosomal RNA". The record is from RNAcentral. Lineage: Eukaryota; Fungi; Basidiomycota; Agaricomycetes; Agaricales; Cortinariaceae.
ACGCUUGAAGUCAGUCGCGUCAUCCAGGGAUCAACCUUGCUUUUGCUUGGUGCAUUUUCUGGUUUGACGGGUCAGCAUCAAUUUUGACCGUUGGAAAAAGGCUGAGGGAAUGUGGCAUCUUUAAUGGAUGUGUUAUAGCCCUUGGUCGCAUACAAUGGUUGGGAUUGAGGAACUCAGCACGCCGCAAGGCCGGGUUUUUUAAACUACGUACGUGCUUAGGAUGCUGGCAAUAUGGCUUUAAUCGACCCGUCUUGAAACACGGACCAAGGAGUC